This 384-nucleotide ribosomal RNA is filed under the name Leptographium gibbsii. RNAcentral's name for it is "eukaryotic LSU rRNA". It matches the Rfam family "Eukaryotic large subunit ribosomal RNA", at positions 1 to 386 of the family's 3401-position model. The record is from RNAcentral. Lineage: Eukaryota; Fungi; Ascomycota; Sordariomycetes; Ophiostomatales; Ophiostomataceae.
UUGACCUCGGAUCAGGUAGGACUACCCGCUGAACUUAAGCAUAUCAAUAAGCGGAGGAAAAGAAACCAACAGGGAUUGCCCCAGUAACGGCGAGUGAAGCGGCAACAGCUCAGAUUUGGAAUCUGGCCCCCAGGGCCCGAGUUGUAAUCUGGAGAGGAUGCUUCUGGCGCGGCGCCUUCCGAGUUCCCUGGAACGGGACGCCGGAGAGGGUGAGAGCCCCGUACGGUCGGACGCCUAGCCUCUGUGAAGCUCCUUCGACGAGUCGAGUAGUUUGGGAAUGCUGCUCAAAAUGGGAGGUAAAUUUCUUCUAAAGCUAAAUAUUGGCCAGAGACCGAUAGCGCACAAGUAGAGUGAUCGAAAGAUGAAAAGCACUUUGAAAAGAGG